Molecule: ribosomal RNA, 941 nt
Filed under: Parapodacanthus hasenpuschorum
Lineage: Eukaryota; Metazoa; Arthropoda; Insecta; Phasmatodea; Phasmatidae
Description: SSU rRNA
Rfam family: Eukaryotic small subunit ribosomal RNA
Source: RNAcentral
CGCAAAUUACCCACUCCCGGCACGGGGAGGUAGUGACGAAAAAUAACGAUACGGGACUCAUCCGAGGCCCCGUAAUCGGAAUGAGUACACUUUAAACCCUUUAACGAGUAUCCAUUGGAGGGCAAGUCUGGUGCCAGCAGCCGCGGUAAUUCCAGCUCCAAUAGCGUAUAUUAAAGUUGUUGCGGUUAAAAAGCUCGUAGUUGGACUUGUGUCCCACGCUGUCGGUUCACCGUUCGUCGGUGUUUAACUGGCAUGCUCGUGCGGACGUCCUGCCGGUGGAUGCGGUCGGCCGUGGGCCUCUGGUCUGCGUGUCGGCGGUCCGAUGCAAUCCUACCGCGGUGCUCUUCACCGAGUGUCGAGGUGGGCCGGCACGUUUACUUUGAACAAAUUAGAGUGCUCAAAGCAGGCAGUGGUUCGCCUGAAUAUUGUGUGCAUGGAAUAAUGGAAUAGGACCUCGGUUCUAUUUUGUUGGUUUUCGGAACUUGAGGUAAUGAUUAAUAGGGACAGACGGGGGCAUUCGUAUUGCGACGUUAGAGGUGAAAUUCUUGGAUCGUCGCAAGACGAACCUAAGCGAAAGCAUUUGCCAUGAGUGUUUUCAUUAAUCAAGAACGAAAGUUAGAGGUUCGAAGGCGAUCAGAUACCGCCCUAGUUCUAACCAUAAACGAUGCCAGCUAGCGAUCCGCCGAAGUUCCUCCGAUGACUCGGCGGGCAGCUUCCGGGAAACCAAAGCUUUUGGGUUCCGGGGGAAGUAUGGUUGCAAAGCUGAAACUUAAAGGAAUUGACGGAAGGGCACCACCAGGAGUGGAGCCUGCGGCUUAAUUUGACUCAACACGGGAAACCUCACCAGGCCCGGACACCGGAAGGAUUGACAGAUUGAGAGCUCUUUCUUGAUUCGGUGGGUGGUGGUGCAUGGCCGUUCUUAUUUGGUGGAGCGAUUGUCU